UGCUGGUUGGGAGUAUCAUCUAGUGUCAAGAGCUUCAGAGUGGAGGGCUUUAAACACAGCUGAGUGCUGAAGCUCUGUGGAACAGGCUGUGGCAGGACCAACUACCCAGGAGAAGCAGAGUGCUCAGGGUGCCGCCAGGGUUCAGAAGUAGCAAGUCAUGAAGGGACAGACCAAAGAGGCUGGGCAUGUAGGGAUUCUAUGAUGAUGGAUAGAGAGAUUCCUCCUCUCUCCCCUUGCUCCCUCCCCAGGCCACCAGAGAGCUUUCAGUUAAUUUCCAGAUUAUUGCUUUCCUAUCCCUGCCCCCAUCUUCCCAAGAGAAUGACUCAGACUUUGGUAGAGACUGUUGUACUCAGAAGUUCUGAAGACCAGGGGACUGAAGGAAGGAAAAGAUUUUGAAAGAGAUUAGAUUCUAACAAUAGCUGGGUUGGGGGAGAACAUGAGAAUGUGGUAGGGGUGGGCUUGGGAAAGAAGGAAAGUGAGGAAGGUGGUAAAGAAAUGUCUAGAUUGAUCUAGAUUCUUGUGGAGCUGGAUAGAGUUGGGGGAGAGAAAAGAGAGUAUGAAAAGUCCUGCAGGGUUUAUGAAUUGGACUCCCUUGAAGGUCAAGACAUGAGGAACAAAUGAAAGUCCUUUUCAAUAAUUUCUUCAUUACUUUCUUGAAUGCAGCAGUGCUUGGGGUGGAGCUUGUGGGUACUGACUAGGGUACGAUUUAAAAUGGACAAAGAUCAUUGGACCCCACCACAAGCCAAGGUCUGGUCCCUGAAAGAGGCAAAAAUCAGCACCUGGAGGAGUGCUUAUUCAUCCUACAAAUGUGCGUUGCCUCCUGGCUAUGCUAUCCUCUGCGUCAAGUACUGCUUUAUGCUGGUGUACAAGGUAGGCAUCUUCCUGUGCUGCCCUUAUGUUCUAACUCUCUACUGGUAUCACAAAUGAACAAAUACAUUU
Molecule: long non-coding RNA, 939 nt
Organism: Bos indicus x Bos taurus (hybrid cattle)
Lineage: Eukaryota; Metazoa; Chordata; Mammalia; Artiodactyla; Bovidae
Source: Ensembl